GGCAAGACUAACAGGAUUCCCCUAGUAACGGCGAGUGAAGAGGGAAGAGCUCAAAUUUGAAAUCUGGCGGCCUACGGUCGUCCGAGUUGUAAUCUAGAGAAGUGUUUUCCGUGCUGGACCGUGUACAAGUCCUUUGGAACAAGGCGUCAUAGAGGGUGAGAAUCCCGUCUACGACACGGACUACCAGUGCUAUGUGAUACACUCUCAACGAGUCGAGUUGUUUGGGAAUGCAGCUCAAAAUGGGUGGUAAAUUCCAUCUAAAGCUAAAUACAGGCGAAAGACCGAUAGCGAACAAGUACCGUGAGGGAAAGAUGAAAAGCACUUUGGAAAGAGAGUUAAACAGUACGUGAAAUUGUUGAAAGGGAAACGCUUGAAGUCAGUCGCGUCUUCAGAAAUUCAGCUUGGCUUCUGCCUGGUGCACUUUUCUGUUGUACGGGCCAGCAUCAGUUUUGGCCGCCAGAAAAAGGUGGGAGGAAGGUGGCACCUCCGGGUGUGUUAUAGCCUCUCAUCGUAUGUGGCGGCUGGGACUGAGGACUGCAGCACGCCUUUAUGGCCGGGGUUCGCCCACGUAACGUGCUUAGGAUGCUGGCGUAAUGGCUUUAAGCGACCCGUCUUGAAACACGGACCAAGGAGUCUAACAUGCCUGCGAGUAUUUGGGUGGUAAACCCAUAUGCGGAAUGAAAGUGAACAGUUGGGACUUCUGUCAUGGAAGGCACCGACGCCCGGACCAGACCUACUGUGACGGAUCCGAGGUAGAGCAUGUAUGUUGGGACCCGAAAGAUGGUGAACUAUGCCUGAGUAGGGUGAAGCCAGAGGAAACUCUGGUGGAGGCUCGUAGCGAUUCUGACGUGCAAAUCGAUCGUCGAACUUGGGUAUAGGGGCGAAAGACUAAUCGAACCAUCUAGUC
This 907-nucleotide ribosomal RNA is filed under the name Geastrum velutinum. Its description in RNAcentral is "partial large subunit ribosomal RNA". It matches the Rfam family "Eukaryotic large subunit ribosomal RNA", at positions 56 to 949 of the family's 3401-position model. The record is from RNAcentral. Lineage: Eukaryota; Fungi; Basidiomycota; Agaricomycetes; Geastrales; Geastraceae.